GAUGAACGCUGGCCGCGUGCCUAAUACAUGCAAGUCGAGCGAACGGACGAGAAGCUUGCUUCUCUGAUGUUAGCGGCGGACGGGUGAGUAACACGUGGAUAACCUACCUAUAAGACUGGGAUAACUUCGGGAAACCGGAGCUAAUACCGGAUCAUAUUUUGAACCGCAUGGUUCAAAAGUUAAAGACGGUCUUGCUGUCACUUAUAGAUGGAUCCGCGCUGCAUUAGCUAGUUGGUAAGGUAACGGCUUACCAAGGCAACGAUGCAUAGCCGACCUGAGAGGGUGAUCGGCCACACUGGAACUGAGACACGGUCCAGACUCCUACGGGAGGCAGCAGUAGGGAAUCUUCCGCAAUGGGCGAAAGCCUGACGGAGCAACGCCGCGUGAGUGAUGAAGGUCUUCGGAUCGUAAAACUCUGUUAUUAGGGAAGAACAUAUGUGUAAGUAACUGUGCACAUCUUGACGGUACCUAAUCAGAAAGCCACGGCUAACUACGUG
This 497-nucleotide ribosomal RNA is filed under the name uncultured bacterium. RNAcentral describes it as "partial 16S ribosomal RNA". It matches the Rfam family "Bacterial small subunit ribosomal RNA", at positions 28 to 507 of the family's 1533-position model. The record is from RNAcentral.